CUGCUUCAGCAGCAGACACACUAAAACUGGAAUGAUACAGGGAAGAUGAGUGUGGACCCUGUGUNAGAAUGGCAUGCAAAUUCAUGAAGCAUUUCAUUUUUUU
RNAcentral lists this small nuclear RNA (103 nucleotides) under Neotoma lepida (desert woodrat). Lineage: Eukaryota; Metazoa; Chordata; Mammalia; Rodentia; Cricetidae. The record is from RNAcentral.